This is a long non-coding RNA of Etheostoma cragini (Arkansas darter), 187 nucleotides long. RefSeq lists it as uncharacterized. Lineage: Eukaryota; Metazoa; Chordata; Actinopteri; Perciformes; Percidae. The record is from RefSeq and is a predicted model, not a curated record. The transcript has 3 exons.
GCAACCUGAAAGCAAGGAAUUAUAGUAGUUCAGCCUGGAAGUAGCAAAUGCUUGGACAACUUUUUCACCAUCGUUUUGAGACAGGAUGUGCCUGAUUCUGGUAAUGUUACGACGGUGAAAAAACGCUGUUCUUGAGGUUUGUUUUAAGUGGGCAUUAAAGGAUAUACACUGUUCAAAAAUAACUGCA